RNAcentral lists this ribosomal RNA (462 nucleotides) under uncultured bacterium. RNAcentral's name for it is "partial 16S ribosomal RNA". It matches the Rfam family "Bacterial small subunit ribosomal RNA", at positions 28 to 507 of the family's 1533-position model. The record is from RNAcentral.
GACGAACGCUGGCGGCGUGCUUAACACAUGCAAGUCGAACGGUGAAGCCCUUCGGGGUGGAUCAGUGGCGAACGGGUGAGUAACACGUGAGCAACCUGCCCCUGGCUCUGGGACAACCACUGGAAACGGUGGCUAAUACCGGAUACGACCCGCCUCGGCAUCGAGUGUGGGUGGAAAGUUUUUCGGCUGGGGAUGGGCUCGCGGCCUAUCAGCUUGUUGGUGAGGUGAAGGCUCACCAAGGCGACGACGGGUAGCCGGCCUGAGAGGGCGACCGGCCACACUGGGACUGAGACACGGCCCAGACUCCUACGGGAGGCAGCAGUGGGGAAUAUUGCACAAUGGGCGAAAGCCUGAUGCAGCGACGCCGCGUGAGGGAUGACGGCCUUCGGGUUGUAAACCCCUUUCAGCUCCGAAGAAGCGAAAGUGACGGUAGGAGCAGAAGAAGCACCGGCUAACUACGUG